CGAGCCCAAAGCGGCCCGCUCCUCUGCCGCCUCUCCCUGGAGGGGCCAUCCAGGUGUUGAUCCUGAGACAAGGCGGGUGCAGGGGUGAAGAGGGGCUCUGGGAGGAAGAGGGGGAGGCUCCCAUGCUUCUGCAGGUGCAGCUACACUUCAGAGCCUCCCCUGGUGUCCAGGCAGCCCUGGGGGGGCUCCUGGGCGGGAGCAGGGCCGCCCCAGAGGGUGGCAGGCCAUGUGGUGUUGCCUGACGCUUCAGCAUGGCCCCGCGUUAAUCCAGCCAGGCUCGUGAAAACCCGGAUUGGAGCAGAGAGGCCUGGGGCCCUGAUCCUCUCACUUCCUUAUCGUGCUGGUCUGCCUCAUCUUCAGUGUGCUGUCCACCAUUGAGCAGUAUGUCGCCCUGGCCACGGGGACCCUCUUCUGGAUGGAGAUCGUCCUGGUCGUGUUCUUCGGGACGGAGUAUGCGGUCCGCCUCUGGUCAGCGGGCUGCCGCAGCAAGUACGUGGGCAUCUGGGGCCGGCUGCGCUUUGCCCGGAAGCCUAUCUCCAUCAUUGGUGAGUCACACCUGGCCCAGGAGGAACCCCCCCCACCCCAAGAUGUCCAGGCAAGGACCAGACACCCUCCCUGGGAAGGAGGUCGGGCAGCUGGACCCCCGUCAUGAGCACCACCAAGCAGAGGACCCCUGGGGGCUGGGAGACCCCCAGACUCUUCCAACUGUGACGGGGCAGGACCCCAAGGCCAGCAGCCCCGGGGGGUCCCUGCCGUCAGCAGCCUGCAAGCCAGGGGGGGGGAGGUGGGGGCGGG
Molecule: long non-coding RNA, 795 nt
Filed under: Sus scrofa (pig)
Lineage: Eukaryota; Metazoa; Chordata; Mammalia; Artiodactyla; Suidae
Description: lncRNA (ENSSSCG00005009614.1)
Source: RNAcentral